Molecule: ribosomal RNA, 468 nt
Filed under: uncultured bacterium
Lineage: Bacteria
Description: partial 16S ribosomal RNA
Rfam family: Bacterial small subunit ribosomal RNA
Source: RNAcentral
GGCGAACGCUGGCGGCGUGCUUAACACAUGCAAGUCGAACGGAAAGGCCCUGCUUUUGUGGGGUGCUCGAGUGGCGAACGGGUGAGUAACACGUGAGUAACCUGCCCUUGACUUUGGGAUAACUUCAGGAAACUGGGGCUAAUACCGGAUAGGAGCUCCUGCUGCAUGGUGGGGGUUGGAAAGUUUCGGCGGUUGGGGAUGGACUCGCGGCUUAUCAGCUUGUUGGUGGGGUAGUGGCUUACCGAGGCUUUGACGGGUAGCCGGCCUGAGAGGGUGACCGGCCACAUUGGGACUGAGAUACGGCCCAGACUCCUACGGGAGGCAGCAGUGGGGAAUAUUGCACAAUGGGCGGAAGCCUGAUGCAGCAACGCCGCGUGCGGGAUGACGGCCUUCGGGUUGUAAACCGCUUUCGCCUGUGACGAAGCGUGAGUGACGGUAAUGGGUAAAGAAGCACCGGCUAACUACGUG